AAUGCGUAGAGAUCUGGAGGAAUACCGGUGGCGAAGGCGGCCCCCUGGACAAAGACUGACGCUCAGGUGCGAAAGCGUGGGGAGCAAACAGGAUUAGAUACCCUGGUAGUCCACGCCGUAAACGAUGUCUACUUGGAGGUUGUGCCCUUGAGGCGUGGCUUCCGGAGCUAACGCGUUAAGUAGACCGCCUGGGGAGUACGGCCGCAAGGUUAAAACUCAAAUGAAUUGACGGGGGCCCGCACAAGCGGUGGAGCAUGUGGUUUAAUUCGAUGCAACGCGAAGAACCUUACCUGGUCUUGACAUCCACGGAAGUUUUCAGAGAUGAGAAUGUGCCUUCGGGAACCGUGAGACAGGUGCUGCAUGGCUGUCGUCAGCUCGUGUUGUGAAAUGUUGGGUUAAGUCCCGCAACGAGCGCAACCCUUAUCCUUUGUUGCCAGCGGUCCGGCCGGGAACUCAAAGGAGACUGCCAGUGAUAAACUGGAGGAAGGUGGGGAUGACGUCAAGUCAUCAUGGC
Molecule: ribosomal RNA, 514 nt
Filed under: Salmonella enterica
Lineage: Bacteria; Pseudomonadati; Pseudomonadota; Gammaproteobacteria; Enterobacterales; Enterobacteriaceae
Description: bacterial SSU rRNA
Rfam family: Bacterial small subunit ribosomal RNA
Source: RNAcentral